GCGGGGGUGCCCGAGCCUGGCCAAAGGGGGCGGACUUAAGAUCCGCUGCCGAAGGGCUACGCGGGUUCGAAUCCCGUCCCCCGCACCA
RNAcentral lists this transfer RNA (88 nucleotides) under Thermococcus celericrescens. Its description in RNAcentral is "tRNA-Leu". It matches the Rfam family "tRNA". From Rfam's summary of the family: Transfer RNA (tRNA) molecules are approximately 80 nucleotides in length. Their secondary structure includes four short double-helical elements and three loops (D, anti-codon, and T loops). Lineage: Archaea; Methanobacteriati; Methanobacteriota; Thermococci; Thermococcales; Thermococcaceae. RNAcentral also lists the same sequence under 6 other names. The record is from RNAcentral.